This 393-nucleotide ribosomal RNA is filed under the name uncultured bacterium. Its description in RNAcentral is "partial 16S ribosomal RNA". It matches the Rfam family "Bacterial small subunit ribosomal RNA", at positions 523 to 918 of the family's 1533-position model. The record is from RNAcentral.
AUACGGAGGAUGCAAGCGUUAUCCGGAUUUAUUGGGUUUAAAGGGUGCGUAGGCGGUUUGCUAAGCGGGAGGUGAAAUGCCGGCGCUCAACGUCGGAAGUGCCUCCCGAACUGGUGGACUGGAAUGACUCUGCCGUGGGAGGAAUGUGUAGUGUAGCGGUGAAAUGCUUAGAGAUUACACAGAACACCGAUUGCGAAGGCAUCUCACGAAGGGUUGAUUGACGCUGAGGCACGAAAGCGUGGGGAUCAAACAGGAUUAGAUUCCCUGGUAGUCCACGCAGUAAACGAUGAUGGCUAACCGCUGGUUUAUUCGGAUCAGUGGCCAAGCGAAAGCGAUAAGCCAUCCACCUGGGGAGUACGACCGCAAGGUUGAAACUCAAAUGAAUUGACGGGG